RNAcentral lists this long non-coding RNA (326 nucleotides) under Vigna radiata. RNAcentral's name for it is "long non-coding RNA (VRAD_LNC004461)". The record is from RNAcentral. Lineage: Eukaryota; Viridiplantae; Streptophyta; Magnoliopsida; Fabales; Fabaceae.
UAUUUCAAACCACAGUAAUCCACGUCCACGUUCCAGUGCUGCGCGGAACAUGGUCGGUCUUUCUAGCAGUGGUUGGAAUCACGCCAGCUAGGACAAACCCCAUCAAUCAUUGGUCUCUAUCAAACAAAACAAUAAAAAAUUCAACAUAUUACGCUUGCGGGACCCACUCCCACUACCCUCACCCUCGGUUCUAUUAACUCUAACUCAUUAGGAUUAUAAAUCCGCACCUUCCUCCUUAGCCGAUCACACUCACUCGCUCACAACUCACAGGAAUCCGAGGCAAGAACAGAAAAAAAAAACAUGGAGGGGAAGGAGCAGGAUGUUUC